CUGCAUGAGCUCCCUUUUGAGGUUAGUUUUAUGUGGGUGGCUCUGAGAAGGAGUCACUCACAGGAUGGAUUAUCAAGAGGCUCAAGGGAGGGCCUUGAGCAGAGGCAAGCUGGAAACACCCAGGACCUACACUCGGAUGUCCUCAUCCGUGACCACAUCUGGGCUUGUUCAAUGUGCCAGACAGGGAUACAUAAGCAUCACUAUUUCCAUGAAAAUAAAGCUUCAUUGACGGAUAAUCGACAUACAAUAACCUGCACAUAUUUAAAGCAUGCAGUUUGAAUGCCAGAUAACACCUUGGAGAUGGUGGAGAGAUUCUGGAGUUUGGAGAUGGAUAAAGUGGGGAAGAAGCUUCUUCCAGGCCAGCACCAGGGGUGCCUCAAUGGAGAAGACAGGCAAGAUCGGGCUCACCCAGAGUUCACAGAGCAGUGGAAGAGACAGGCAGUAAAUAGGAGGGACUGAAUAAACCAAUACAGCAGGAAGAGGAUUUUAAACAGUGUACGCAGGCCUCUCACUGUUGUGGCCUCUCCCGUUGCGGAGCACAGGCUCCGGACGCGCAGGCUCAGUGUCCAUGGCUCACGGGCCCAGCCGCUCCGCGGCAUGUGGGAUCUUCCCGGACCGGGGCACGAACCCGCAUCCCCUGCAUCGGCAGGUGGACUCUCAACCACUGCGCCACCAGGGAUGCCCGAGAAGUUUUUAUGAUUGUUGCUAAUACUAAAACGAGCCUUUAUCACUUUUAUAGGACAAUGGAAGAAUCUAAGUCGAGUGUGAAAGGUAAAAAAAAUUCUUGCAUUGUUUGAAUCUGCUUUUUUAAAAGAAAUCAGCACAUUUAUCCAUUCUGCAGUACUCAUAACCCCUCGUGUACUCCUGAAUGUUCUGUGUUCAAUUUUCAUUUUCUUCCCAAAUAGCCAGGAAUAUUGAAUUAACAAAUUACAUAAGACAGAACAAAGUGAGCUCUCAACAUUGUCCUAAAGGAUAUAUAUAAAAGCUCUUUGCAAGCAGUAAAGUAGAUAAAAAUGUUCAUUAAUAUUAUUAUAUCUCUAUCAAGUUAUGGGAUCUGUUGACCAAACCCCUAGAAAAUUAAGAGGAAAUGAUUUCACGUAAUUCCCCAAACUAUAUUCUGUUGAACACUAGUGUCCCAUGAGAUUUUAAUUGUGUAUUAUAGAAG
Long non-coding RNA from Orcinus orca (killer whale), 1165 nucleotides. RefSeq lists it as uncharacterized. The transcript has 5 exons. NCBI's taxonomy places the organism in Eukaryota, Metazoa, Chordata, Mammalia, Artiodactyla, Delphinidae. The record is from RefSeq and is a predicted model, not a curated record.